This 978-nucleotide long non-coding RNA is filed under the name Homo sapiens (human). RNAcentral's name for it is "HSALNT0194796". The record is from RNAcentral. Lineage: Eukaryota; Metazoa; Chordata; Mammalia; Primates; Hominidae.
GAAAAACGUAAAAAUAAUAGUAUCUACCUCAUAGGGGUGCUGUGAGGAUUUAAUGAGAUACCAUAUUUUAAGGCACAUAGCAGUGCCUGGCGAGUAGGGCUAAGUCAGCGUUGGCUGCUGUUAUUUUCUCUGGAGGAUAAUAUUUGCCAGGGAGAGCAGUGGAAUCAGGCAGAACUGGACUGCAAUCCUGUUUUCCCCACACAUUAACAACUGUAUUCUUUUGGGCAAAACAAUCUCUCAGCAUCAGCUUCGUGGGUAAAGACAAAUUACUUCAUAAGAAUAAACUCAGGCCAGCCAAAGUGCCUGGGUGACAGAGCGAGACCCUGUCUCAAAACAAAACAAAACAAACAAACAAAAAAGAAGAAAUUCAGGCCGAGCGCAUUGGCUCAUACCUGUAGUCCCAGUACUUUGAGGAGCUGAGGCGGGGGAUCGCUUGAGCCCAGGAGUUUGAGAGCAGCCUAGGCAACAUGGUGAAACCCCAUCUCUAAAAAAGUACAAAAAUUAGCUGGGCAUGGUAGUGAGUGCCUGUAGUCCCAGCUACUCGGGAGGCUGAGGCAGGAGGAUCGCUUGAACCCAGGAGGCAGAGGGUUGCAGUGAGCCGAGAUUGUGCCUCUGCACUCCAGCCUCAGCAACAGAGCAAGACUCUGUCUCAAAAAAAAAAAAAAAAAAAGAAUAAAUUCCGGCCGAGUGUGGUGGCCUACACCUGUAAUUUCAGCACUUUGGGCAGCCAAGGUGGGCUUGAGUCCAGGAGUUCAAAACCAGUCUGGGCAACAUAGCAAGACCUCAUCCCUACUAAAAAAAAAAAAAAAAUUAGUUGAGUGUGAUGGUGUGUACCUAUGGUCCCAGCUACUUGGGAGGCUGAGCGGUGAUUGUGACACUACAGCCUGGGCAACAGAGUGAGACCCUGUCUCAAAAAAAAAAAAAGAAAAAAGAAAAGAAAGAAUACAUUCACUGAUCUAUGUGAAUAUGUGAAAGUAC